GUUUCAUAAUUUAGUUAUCGCACUAGACUGGUACUUUGUGAAAUAUCACAAAUAAUGAAUGAAUUAGCGAAUUGUUUCCCUUUGAAAUCUACACGCCAUUAACGGUGUAUACAUGUGUGAAACUGGGUCAGAGAAAACAUGCAGUUAUUGCUCUGAAUAUACGCGGAUAUUUAAAGUGCACGGCGGAUUUAUUGGUUGUUAUGGACAACCUCCAGCAGUAUGAGAUAUAAAUGUUCACUGCAGUUUUGACAAUGCCCAUCAAGUGCCAUGGAGUUGCUUGUAUGAAAAGUACAGUACUGCUGUUGGAAGAGGAGCAGUGUGGUAUCUAUGGUCCACCAUCACUUCAAGCAUUAUGACUGUGGAUAAAAGAAGGUUUUAUUACAUAUGGACAAUUAUACUGGACAAAAUAAGAAGUGUUCUAAUAAGUUCUGGAAUGUGGCUUGUUAUGAUGGGUCUACAUGAUUGACUUGGAGUACAACCUGAUGGGGACUGGGCUUGCAGAAUUCAGUCCUGAACAUGUUUAGAAUGUCAGAAUGACCUAGUAUAGUAUUCUUGAAGGAUUAUAACUUCAACACAGAGACGGAGAUUAAUAUUUUAGGCAGGGGAUUGGCAUGACAGGCAAAUUCUCCAACUGUAUUACCAUUCCUGAGCUGGAUGCCAGCCGACAGUGGUACCUGUAUAAUGAAAUAGCGCCCCUUUGCAGCAACAGCAAUGUAUGCUCAAAACUAGCAGUGCCAAAGCCAUUAAAAUUGAGAACUCAGUCAUUUAAAACAAAGAAUGAAUGGAAAAAAAGUGUUUAACAUUUGAAGUAAUACAGAGAAAGAGCUUAGCUCAUUUGGUAUUUUCUGAAAUUUUAAUUAAUUUUGAAAGUGUUUUUUGAUUUUUUAAAGGUGUACUAGACCCAAAUUCCAUUUAUGAGCAGUGCCAUGG
Molecule: long non-coding RNA, 930 nt
Organism: Mercenaria mercenaria
Lineage: Eukaryota; Metazoa; Mollusca; Bivalvia; Venerida; Veneridae
Exons: 5
Source: RefSeq, a predicted model, not a curated record